RNAcentral lists this long non-coding RNA (486 nucleotides) under Aquilegia coerulea. RNAcentral's name for it is "long non-coding RNA (ACOE_LNC001720)". Lineage: Eukaryota; Viridiplantae; Streptophyta; Magnoliopsida; Ranunculales; Ranunculaceae. The record is from RNAcentral.
CUCCAAAUUUGAUAAGGGAGCAAGGAGCAACAUUAUUUUUAACAUCCCUCUAAUGUGUGCAUCACAAGUCAUAAUGCAAGCUAUAUUGGGUCUGCCUUUGCUGGAGGACAAGUCAAACACAGUAUGAUCUUGAUGUUGGUCUUGAACUGAUUACAUUGAAUUGGCUUAUAAUGUAACAUACUGUGUAUCAGUUAUUUCGUAAGUGUUAAGCUGUUCUAAUUUGUUACGACAGACUUGUUGUAUCUUACUUUGACCUAAAUGCCUGGUGCAUUAUUGUUCUUUUUUGUUUUUAUUGUGUUUAUAUUUGACACAAAUUAAUAUUUGGCAUUAAUUUCACUUAAUAUUUUGGCAGUGAUGAAUUGGACCAAAGAGAGCUUUAUCGUGCAAGGUACUGGGUAUCACUAUUAUGCUAGCGACUUGUUUCACAACCGUUAUCAACUGGUCUAGACUCUGAAUGUAAGAAAAGUGGCUUGUUUAGAAAUGAUC